RNAcentral lists this ribosomal RNA (459 nucleotides) under uncultured bacterium. Its description in RNAcentral is "SSU rRNA". It matches the Rfam family "Bacterial small subunit ribosomal RNA", at positions 26 to 518 of the family's 1533-position model. The record is from RNAcentral.
AGAAUCAACGCUGGCGGCGUGCCUAACACAUGCAAGUCGAACGAGAAAGUGGAGCAAUCCAUGAGUAAAGUGGCGCACGGGUGAGUAACACGUGACUAACCUACCCUUGAGUGGGGGAUAACCUAGAGAAAUCUGGGCUAAUACCGCAUAAUACCUUCGGGUCAAAGGAGCAAUUCGCUUAAGGAGGGGGUCGCGGCCGAUUAGUUAGUUGGCGGGGUAAUGGCCCACCAAGACUGUGAUCGGUAUCCGGCCUGAGAGGGCGCACGGACACACUGGAACUGAAACACGGUCCAGACUCCUACGGGAGGCAGCAGUGGGGAAUUUUGCGCAAUGGGGGAAACCCUGACGCAGCAACGCCGCGUGGAGGAUGAAGUCCCUUGGGACGUAAACUCCUUUCGAUCGGGACGAUUAUGACGGUACCGAGAGAAGAGCCCCGGCUAACUUCGCGCCAGCAGCCGC